GGGGCCGAAAUGGAUUCGACCGGAUCGGGAACGCUUGACGUGGCGCGUCCAGGAGCAUGCUGGCCUGGUAAAAAGUAUGCAAAAAAUAAUUGCUGAGCGUCCCUACGCUCUCGCGGCCUAAUACAGGCCUCGCAAUCCCCGCACGACGCCCGAUGGUGCGGGGAUUGAAGACAUCGGGCUGGCCCUCGCGCGGUGCAACCGGGCGCGGGGGUGAGAAAACUCCGGGAGCUGGACCGGAGCGAACGCCGUGGGUGGCGGUCGUGAGGUCGAGAUUAAAUCACCCAACACACGCGUAGAUGCGGCAGGCCGACGGUCUCGGGACGGGGGUUCGAUUCCCCCCGGCUCCAUUU
Molecule: transfer-messenger RNA, 350 nt
Filed under: Phycisphaerales
Lineage: Bacteria; Pseudomonadati; Planctomycetota; Phycisphaerae
Also listed under: 1 other name
Description: JABWBC01 sp016793195 Standard tmRNA
Rfam family: transfer-messenger RNA
About the family: Bacterial tmRNA, also known as 10Sa RNA or SsrA, is named for its dual tRNA and mRNA-like properties. Its role is to liberate the mRNA from a stalled ribosome.
Source: RNAcentral